Molecule: ribosomal RNA, 305 nt
Filed under: uncultured bacterium
Lineage: Bacteria
Description: bacterial SSU rRNA
Rfam family: Bacterial small subunit ribosomal RNA
Source: RNAcentral
AUUCGCCUACGGGGGGCAGCAGUGAGGAAUAUUGGUCAAUGGGCGGAAGCCUGAACCAGCCACGUCGCGUGAGGGAAUAAGGCCCUACGGGUCGUAAACCUCUUUUGCCGGGGAGCAAGGGCGGGGACGUGUCCCGGCCCGGAGAGUACCCGGAGAAAAAGCAUCGGCUAACUCCGUGCCAGCAGCCGCGGUAAUACGGAGGAUGCAAGCGUUAUCCGGAUUUACUGGGUGUAAAGGGAGCGUAGGCGGUGCAGCAAGUCAGAAGUGAAAGCCCGGGGCUCAACUCCGGGACUGCUUUUGAAACU